AUGCGCGGGGCAACCACCCAGCGCCAGGGGCCGUGCCGCCGCACCGACCAGGUGUCAGGCUCCGGCGGCGGCGGGGUCGACCGCCUCGGCGCCCUCCCGGAUGCACUCCUGCACCACGUCAUGUCGUUCCUGAAGGCAUGGGAGGUGGUUCCCACCUGCAUGCUCGCGCGCUGGUGACGCCACCUAUGGGAGUCCGCGCCCUGCGUCGACCUCCGCGUGCGCUACAUGAGCCGCGACGCCGACCCGCCGCAGGAGUUCCGCGACUUCGUGCACCGCCUCUUCCUCCUCCGCGACGUGUCAGCGCCCGUGGACAUGCUCCGCCUACAGCCCGGCGACGAGGACGCUGGCUUCAACGAGGACGAUGCAGGGCGUGUUAUUCACCUUGCCGGGCAUCACAAGAGAGUUGCGUCGUUGGACGGCGUGCCCUUCGUUUUGUGCCACCUCAAGAUCUUGAAGUUGUCGUACGCCAGGCUCGAUGACAGUGUCCUCCGACAGCUUUCUGCUAGUUGCAAAUCCUUGGAACAGCUGGAUCUCAAGGAUUGCUUGGUCACAGGCCCUGGGAUUGUGUCCGUCUCUUUGAGGACCUUAAUCAUGCUUAAGUGCAAGUUCAAUUCCCUCUUCUCCAUUGCAGCUCCCAACCUCCUACUUCUGCGCCUCAUCACACCGUAUGCCCAAGUUCCGUCAUUUACCAACUUUGGGUCACUAGUCACAUCCACUAUCUUACUUGAUGACCAUUUCUUGAGCAAUGAAUUUGAACACAUCAGCGAUAAGGAUGACUGCGAUGAAACUACUGAUGACGAUGGCAAUGAUGAUAAGAGGGAGAACUAUACGAUUCAUGAUGCCUCAUCUUUGAGUGAUGAUGAUGAUUUUGGAUACAUCGGUGAUUUUGACGAGUUUGGAUAUGGAUAUGGUUUUCCCGAAGAAAGAUAUGGGCACAGUCGCUACAAGGAUAAUUAUAAUUAUGGUAGCAAUAUUGAUAGUGAUGACAAUGCCUAUGAAUACAGUGAGAUCGCAAAUGAUGCAAAGUAUGGCUACAAAGGUAAGGGAAGCUUUAGUGAAGAUGGUAACUAUGGAAAAAUCAGUGGUGGAAAUUAUAGUUACAUUCUAGGUGGCCAUCAUAUGCUCGAGAGCCUUUCCACAGCUACGAGUUUGGAGUUGUUAAUUGAUGCUGGAGAGGUGGUUCUGACUAGGGAAUUGAGAAGGUGUCCAACUUUUAGCAACCUGAAGACCCUGUCCCUUGGUGAAUGGUGUAUGGCCGCUGAUUUCGAUGCAUUAAUUUUCUUGCUACAUCAUUCACCUAAUAUAAAGACGCUUUUCUCCAACUCAAAUUGGAACUUCAGCACAAGGAAGGCAUUGGAAACAUGUAUCAAACUACAGGGAAGAUCAUUUACUUGCAAAGAACUUAGAAUGGUGAAGAUCAAAUGUUCAAAGGACGAUUGGAGAGUCCACACCUUGGCACAUAUGUUCAGGGCAAAUGGUAUAUCACUAGAGAAUAUUUAUGUGCGUCGGAGCGGAGAUGCUUAUCUCCGUGGCCAGAAGUUUAUGAGGGACCUCGCCAAACAAGAACUGGAUGAAUGUGGGGACGACUGGAUGUAA
Molecule: ribosomal RNA, 1596 nt
Filed under: Triticum aestivum (bread wheat)
Lineage: Eukaryota; Viridiplantae; Streptophyta; Magnoliopsida; Poales; Poaceae
Description: partial small subunit ribosomal RNA
Source: RNAcentral